Molecule: ribosomal RNA, 484 nt
Filed under: uncultured bacterium
Lineage: Bacteria
Description: partial 16S ribosomal RNA
Rfam family: Bacterial small subunit ribosomal RNA
Source: RNAcentral
AUUGAACGCUGGCGGCAGGCCUAACACAUGCAAGUCGAGCGGAUGAAGGGAGCUUGCUCCUGGAUUCAGCGGCGGACGGGUGAGUAAUGCCUAGGAAUCUGCCUGGUAGUGGGGGAUAACGUCCGGAAACGGGCGCUAAUACCGCAUACGUCCUGAGGGAGAAAGUGGGGGAUCUUCGGACCUCACGCUAUCAGAUGAGCCUAGGUCGGAUUAGCUAGUUGGUGGGGUAAAGGCCUACCAAGGCGACGAUCCGUAACUGGUCUGAGAGGAUGAUCAGUCACACUGGAACUGAGACACGGUCCAGACUCCUACGGGAGGCAGCAGUGGGGAAUAUUGGACAAUGGGCGAGAGCCUGAUCCAGCCAUGCCGCGUGUGUGAAGAAGGUCUUCGGAUUGUAAAGCACUUUAAGUUGGGAAGAAGGGCAGUAAGUUAAUACCUUGCUGUUUUGACGUUACCAACAGAAUAAGCACCGGCUAACUUCGUG